Pan troglodytes (chimpanzee) is the source of this 221-nucleotide long non-coding RNA. RefSeq lists it as uncharacterized. Lineage: Eukaryota; Metazoa; Chordata; Mammalia; Primates; Hominidae. The record is from RefSeq and is a predicted model, not a curated record. The transcript has 3 exons.
GUCAAGGCCAGACUUUUCCUUCAUGUCUGUCUGGGGCCCACCAGAGAGCCCUGCGGAGAGGAGCAGAAGCUGAAAUCCUUUGAUACUGUGGGUUCGUGGUCUCGCUGACUUCAAGAAUGGAGCCGCGGACCUUCGUGACAGAAAAGUUCUCCAAGUCCCCACUCAACUCAGGAGGUCCAGCUGGAUUCACCUCUCAAGACCACGCGGUAUUUGGUUUUCUG